AACCCGCAAGCAAGGGUUCCAGAUCGAAAAUUAUCAUGAUAUUAGGUAACUUAUUGACUGAAACAUUCAUAAGAAUUUAUAGCUGGAGCACGACUCCUUACACAAGGACUGAAAUCAUCAACAAAGCUAGCAACAUAACACAAAUAGUUACCUAACAUAUCUUGCUCCUAACAUAUAUAUUGACAAAACGUUUAUCCUGAUGCCUGAAAGAAUCACUAAACUUUUAUACCUCGGCUUCCUCGACAUUUCCUUCUUCCUCCCCACUAAUAUCUUGCUCCUCGUCGCCAUGAUAAUGCAAGUUUAAAAAUUGGCUGCCAUCGUUCUCGUCCUCAUCAAACUCUGGAGCUAUGUGCCCAGUACUACCACGAAUGAGCUCGUGCAUUAACUCGUCUUGGUUGUCCGUAGGAUCCAUUUCCACUGCCUGAAACAAUAAAAAACAAAGAGAGUGCAUAAGCCCCGAGCAUAAAAAACAAAGAGAGUGCAUUAUUUUUCUCGGAAGAAUAAUUUUCCUCAUUUAUAAACCAUGGAUUAAGAUAUUCUCUAUAUAUAUUUCUUGAUCUAAUUUUGAGUCGGACUAAUUUUGGAUGUCAACACACACUACUAGCCUUAAUCCAUGAUAAGAUCCCAAACAUUAACAAACAUCUCUAGAAACUAAAAGCUCCGCAAAAAUGAAAAUCUUUUGGCGAAAUCUUCGAAGAGGGGUAAUAAUCUUAACAAAAGACAUUGCAUCCUCAUUAAGCAAAUUGGCAGGGUAGUAAAAGUUCUCCUUUUAUCGUACUGACAAAAGGAGACAGUUUUUUUCCAAGUGCCGCCUCACUCAUUUGGUUUGGGCAGCUAUCCAUGUGACUUUAAUUUGGGGCUCCAGCAACUUCGUAGUGGGACACACAGGUUUGGUAUGCACAUUGUAUGUUCAUCCCUCAUGGAAGCAUUGAAUAAUGGAAGCCAACCUGAAAGGGUCCUACAGUUGAUGAAAUUCAUGAAGCAAAAACAGAUACCGUUGAACCAAAAGGCUUAUUUUGAGAUAAUAGCUUCAUGCAGCAUGCUACGGGAAUGGAAAACAGCCAGUGAAAUAAUUGAGCAAUUGGAUUCCUCCCUCUCAUCCAUUUCUGUUGGCACACUAAACCAUCUUUUGAAUUUUCUUGGAACCGUGCAAGUGAUUGUUUGUCUAAAAAAACAGUAUAGUGAUGACUGUUUUUGUAUUUGCACUGAAUUAAGGAAUGCAUAUUCCUCUAAUCUGUUCACUCAAA
Molecule: long non-coding RNA, 1247 nt
Organism: Panicum virgatum (switchgrass)
Lineage: Eukaryota; Viridiplantae; Streptophyta; Magnoliopsida; Poales; Poaceae
Exons: 2
Source: RefSeq, a predicted model, not a curated record